This 204-nucleotide ribosomal RNA is filed under the name uncultured bacterium. Its description in RNAcentral is "partial 16S ribosomal RNA". It matches the Rfam family "Bacterial small subunit ribosomal RNA", at positions 524 to 726 of the family's 1533-position model. The record is from RNAcentral.
UACAGAGGCCUCAAGCGUUUGUUCGGAAUUACUGGGCGUAAAGCGCACGUAGGCGGAUAUUUAAGUCAGGGGUGAAAUCCCAGAGCUCAACUCUGGAACUGCCUUUGAUACUGGGUAUCUUGAGUAUGGAAGAGGUAAGUGGAAUUGCGAGUGUAGAGGUGAAAUUCGUAGAUAUUCGCAGGAACACCAGUGGCGAAGGCGGCU